Molecule: ribosomal RNA, 431 nt
Filed under: uncultured bacterium
Lineage: Bacteria
Description: partial 16S ribosomal RNA
Rfam family: Bacterial small subunit ribosomal RNA
Source: RNAcentral
AGCGAACGCUGGCGGCAGGCCUAACACAUGCAAGUCGAACGAACUCUUCGGAGUUAGUGGCGGACGGGUGAGUAACACGUGGGAACGUGCCUUUUGGUUCGGAAUAACUCAGGGAAACUUGUGCUAAUACCGAAUGUGCCCUUCGGGGGAAAGAUUUAUCGCCAUUAGAGCGGCCCGCGUCUGAUUAGCUAGUUGGUGAGGUAACGGCUCACCAAGGCGACGAUCAGUAGCUGGUCUGAGAGGAUGACCAGCCACACUGGGACUGAGACACGGCCCAGACUCCUACGGGAGGCAGCAGUGGGGAAUCUUGCGCAAUGGGCGAAAGCCUGACGCAGCCAUGCCGCGUGAAUGAUGAAGGUCUUAGGAUUGUAAAAUUCUUUCACCGGGGACGAUAAUGACGGUACCCAGAAGAAGCCCCGGCUAACUUCGUG